AACGAACGCUGGCGGCAGGCCUAACACAUGCAAGUCGAACGCUCUCGCAAGAGAGAGUGGCGCACGGGUGCGUAACGCGUGGGAAUCUACCCCUGACUACGGAACAACCCAGGGAAACUUGGGCUAAUACCGUAUAAUGUCUCCGGACCAAAGAUUUAUCGGUCAGGGAUGAGCCCGCGUCAGAUUAGCUAGUUGGUGAGGUAAUGGCUCACCAAGGCGACGAUCUGUAGCUGGUCUGAGAGGAUGAUCAGCCACACUGGAACUGAGACACGGUCCAGACUCCUACGGGAGGCAGCAGUGAGGAAUAUUGGACAAUGGGGGCAACCCUGAUCCAGCCAUGCCGCGUGAGUGAUGAAGGCCUUCGGGUUGUAAAACUCUUUUAGAUGUGACGAUGAUGACGGUAACAUCAGAAAAAGCUCCGGCUAACUUCGUGCCAGCAGCCGCGGUAAUACGAAGGGAGCGAGCGUUGUUCGGAAUCACUGGGCUUAAAGCGUGCGUAGGUGGAUUGGUAAGUAAGGAGUGAAAUCCCAGGGCUUAACCCUGGAACUGCUCUUUAGACUGCCUGUCUGGAAUUCGGAAGAGGUUGGUGGAACUCCCAGUGUAGAGGUGAAAUUCGCAGAUAUUGGGAAGAACACCGGUGGCGAAGGCGACCAACUGGUCCGACAUUGACACUGAGGCACGAAAGCGUGGGUAGCAAACAGGAUUAGAUACCCUGGUAGUCCACGCCGUAAACCAUGUUUGCUAGCUGUCGGAGUCCUUAGGGCUUCGGCGGCGGAGAGAAAUCAUUAAGCAAACCGCCUGGGGAGUACGGCCGCAAGGUUAAAACUCAAAGGAAUUGACGGGGACCCGCACAAGCGGUGGAGCAUGUUGUUCAAUUCGAAGCAACGCGAAGAACCUUACCUACCCUUGACAUGUCCAGUAUGGGGCCGAGAGAUUGGCUCCUUCAGUUCGGCUGGCUGGAACACAGGUGCUGCAUGGCUGUCGUCAGCUCGUGUCGUGAGAUGUUGGGUUAAGUCCCGCAACGAGCGCAACCCUCAUCGUCUGUUGCCAUCAGGUUAAGCUGGGCACUCUGACGAGACUGCCGGUGACAAGCCGGAGGAAGGCGGGGAUGACGUCAAGUCAUCAUGGCCCUUACGGGUAGGGCCACAAACGUGCUACAAUGGCGGUGACAGUGGGCCGCGAGGCAGUGAUGCCAAGCCAAUCCCAAAAAGCCGUCUCAGUUCAGAUUGUACUCUGCAACUCGAGUGCAUGAAGCUGGAAUCGCUAGUAAUCGUGGAUCAGCACGCCACGGUGAAUACGUUCCCGGGUCUUGUACACACCGCCCGUCACGUCAUGGAAGUUGGUUCUACCUGAAGACAGUGAGCUAACCGCAAGGAGGCAGCUGGCCACGGUAGGGUCGAUGACUGGGACG
This 1411-nucleotide ribosomal RNA is filed under the name uncultured bacterium. RNAcentral describes it as "bacterial SSU rRNA". It matches the Rfam family "Bacterial small subunit ribosomal RNA". The record is from RNAcentral.